UGGGGAAUCUUGCGCAAUGGGCGAAAGCCUGACGCAGCAACGCCGCGUGCGGGAUGAAGGCCUUCGGGCUGUAAACCGCUUUCAGCAGGAACGAAAAUGACGGUACCUGCAGAAGAAGGAGCGGCCAACUACGUGCCAGCAGCCGCGGUGACACGUAGGCUCCAAGCGUUGUCCGGAUUUAUUGGGCGUAAAGAGCUCGUAGGCGGUUGAGUAAGUCGGGUGUGAAAACUCUGGGCUUAACCCGGAGACGCCAUCCGAUACUGCUCUGACUAGAGUUCAGGAGGGGAGUGGGGAAUUCCUAGUGUAGCGGUGAAAUGCGCAGAUAUUAGGAGGAACACCGGUGGCGAAGGCGCCACUCUGGACUGAAACUGACGCUGAGGAGCGAAAGCAUGGGUAGCAAACAGG
This 405-nucleotide ribosomal RNA is filed under the name uncultured bacterium. Its description in RNAcentral is "partial 16S ribosomal RNA". It matches the Rfam family "Bacterial small subunit ribosomal RNA", at positions 355 to 776 of the family's 1533-position model. RNAcentral also lists the same sequence under 1 other name. The record is from RNAcentral.